UACGAAGGGGGCUAGCGUUGCUCGGAAUCACUGGGCGUAAAGCGCACGUAGGCGGUCUUUUAAGUCAGGGGUGAAAUCCUGGAGCUCAACUCCAGAACUGCCUUUGAUACUGAGAGACUUGAGUCCGGGAGAGGUGAGUGGAACUGCGAGUGUAGAGGUAAAAUUCGUAGAUAUUCGCAAGAACACCAGUGGCGAAGGCGGCUCACUGGCCCGGUACUGACGCUGAGGUGCGAAAGCGUGGGGAGCAAACAGG
RNAcentral lists this ribosomal RNA (253 nucleotides) under uncultured bacterium. RNAcentral describes it as "partial 16S ribosomal RNA". It matches the Rfam family "Bacterial small subunit ribosomal RNA", at positions 524 to 776 of the family's 1533-position model. The record is from RNAcentral.